GCACUCUUGGCCUAAUGGAUAAGGCAACUGGCUUCGAACCAGUCGAUUGGGGGUUCGACUCCCUCAGAGUGCGCCA
This 76-nucleotide transfer RNA is filed under the name Verrucomicrobiota bacterium. RNAcentral's name for it is "tRNA-Arg". It matches the Rfam family "tRNA". From Rfam's summary of the family: Transfer RNA (tRNA) molecules are approximately 80 nucleotides in length. Their secondary structure includes four short double-helical elements and three loops (D, anti-codon, and T loops). Lineage: Bacteria; Pseudomonadati; Verrucomicrobiota. The record is from RNAcentral. RNAcentral also lists the same sequence under 2 other names.